RNAcentral lists this ribosomal RNA (425 nucleotides) under uncultured bacterium. RNAcentral's name for it is "partial 16S ribosomal RNA". It matches the Rfam family "Bacterial small subunit ribosomal RNA", at positions 354 to 796 of the family's 1533-position model. The record is from RNAcentral.
GUGGGGAAUCUUAGACAAUGGGGGAAACCCUGAUCUAGCCAUGCCGCGUGAGCGAUGAAGGCCUUAGGGUUGUAAAGCUCUUUCAGCUGGGAAGAUAAUGACUGUACCAGCAGAAGAAGCCCCGGCUAACUCCGUGCCAGCAGCCGCGGUAAUACGGAGGGGGCUAGCGUUGUUCGGAAUUACUGGGCGUAAAGCACACGUAGGCGGACCGGAAAGUCAGAGGUGAAAUCCCAGGGCUCAACCUUGGAACUGCCUUUGAAACUCCUGGUCUUGGGGUCGAGGGAGGUGAGUGGAAUUCCGGGUGUAGAGGUGAAAGUCGUAGGUAUUCGGAGGAACACCAGUGGCGAAGGCGGCUCACUGGCUCGAUACUGACGCUGAGGUGCGAAAGCGUGGGGAGCAAACAGGAUUAGAAACCCCGGUAGUCC